GACUAAAUGGUGUAGUGGUUAACACAUUUGCUUGGCGAGCAAAUGUGACCUUUUGUUU
Molecule: transfer RNA, 58 nt
Filed under: Oreochromis niloticus (Nile tilapia)
Lineage: Eukaryota; Metazoa; Chordata; Actinopteri; Cichliformes; Cichlidae
Also listed under: 1 other name
Source: Rfam by way of RNAcentral